AUCAUGUCUUUAAGGUACGGUAAUCAUGUCUUUAAGGUACAGUGAUCAUGUCUUUAAGGUACGGUGAUCAUGUCUUUAAGGUACGGUGAUCAUGUCUUUAAGGUACGGUGAUCAUGUCUUUAAGGUACGGUGAUCAUCAUGUCUUUAAGGUACGGUGAUCAUGUCUUUAAGGUACGGUGAUCAUGUCUUUAAGGUACGGUGAUCAUGUCUUUAAGGUACGGUGAUCAUGUCUUUAAGGUACGGUGAUCAUGUCUUUAAGGUACGGUGAUCAUGUCUUUAAGGUACGGUGAUCAUGUCUUUAAG
Molecule: long non-coding RNA, 303 nt
Organism: Oncorhynchus tshawytscha (Chinook salmon)
Lineage: Eukaryota; Metazoa; Chordata; Actinopteri; Salmoniformes; Salmonidae
Source: Ensembl